GAUGAACGCUGGCGGCGUGCCUAAUACAUGCAAGUCGAGCGAACGGACGAGAAUUUUUCUUCUCUUCUGUUAGCGGCGGAUGGGUGAGUAAUACGUGGCUAACUUACCUAUAAGACUGGGAUAACUUCGGGAAACCUGAUCUAACACCCGUUGAUAUUUUGAACCGCAUGGUUCAUCAGUGCAAGACGUUCUUGCUGUCCCUUAUAGAUGGAUCCUCGCUGCAUUAGCUAGUUGGUAAGGUAACGGCUUACCAAGGCAACGAUGCAUAGCCGACCUGAGAGGAUGAUCAGUCACACUGGAACUGAGACACGGUCCAGACUCCUACGGGAGGCAGCAGUAGGGAAUCUUCCGCAAUGGGCGAAAGCCUGACGGAGCAACGCCGCGUGAGUGAUGAAGGUCUUCGGAUCGUAAAGCACUGUUAGUAGGGAAGAAGAGAAGUGUGAGUAAAUGUGCACAUCUUGACGGUACCUAAACAGAAAGCCACGGCUAACUACGUG
Molecule: ribosomal RNA, 497 nt
Filed under: uncultured bacterium
Lineage: Bacteria
Description: partial 16S ribosomal RNA
Rfam family: Bacterial small subunit ribosomal RNA
Source: RNAcentral